UACGUAGGGUGCAAGCGUUAAUCGGAAUUACUGGGCGUAAAGCGUGCGCAGGCGGUUAUGUAAGACAGGUGUGAAAUCCCCGGGCUCAACCUGGGAACUGCAUCUGUGACUGCAUAGCUAGAGUACGGUAGAGGGGGAUGGAAUUCCGCGUGUAGCAGUGAAAUGCGUAGAUAUGCGGAGGAACACCGAUGGCGAAGGCAAUCCCCUGGACCUGUACUGACGCUCAUGCACGAAAGCGUGGGGAGCAAAAGGG
This 253-nucleotide ribosomal RNA is filed under the name uncultured bacterium. RNAcentral describes it as "partial 16S ribosomal RNA". It matches the Rfam family "Bacterial small subunit ribosomal RNA", at positions 524 to 776 of the family's 1533-position model. The record is from RNAcentral.